GCGAGGUGACCCAAUCAAGGUGGUGGAAUUCUGAAAUUUCCAUGACUGCAGGUGCUGGGCGAGCAAUCAGGGAGCCUGGCAGUCGGGCUGCUCAACAGGCCCAAGAAGCUCAACUCGCUGAAUGAGACCUAAAGCAUACCGGAUCCGUGUAUGGACGCCCCUUCCCACUGCCAGGCCUCGGCCUCGAUCCUCAAACUGAAACCCUCUGUGAAAGCUCUCCUCCACAAGUGUACUGAAACUCUACCAGAUACUCCGGCACUACAAGUGUAGAAUCGAACACAAACCAUGAUCGUUACGCUGGAUCCGAGGGGUGGGGUCCAUAAAAGUCGAACUGGAAGUCCUUGGAGUGUCCGGUCCCCGGGAUGGCUUCUUGUAGUCAAAGCAUACCUUGGUUGCUCAGUUCAGGAGCUUACCGGUAUGAAUAUUUUCGGUCUGGUUGCCGUUUUUGAGCUCAUACUCUUAUUGUUCCUGCGGCCAAAAAAUGACCUGGCCAU
RNAcentral lists this long non-coding RNA (494 nucleotides) under Selaginella moellendorffii. Its description in RNAcentral is "long non-coding RNA (SMOE_LNC001531)". The record is from RNAcentral. Lineage: Eukaryota; Viridiplantae; Streptophyta; Lycopodiopsida; Selaginellales; Selaginellaceae.